GAUGAACGCUGGCGGCGUGCCUAAUACAUGCAAGUCGAGCGAACGGACGAGAAGCUUGCUUUUCUGAUGUUAGCGGCUGACGGGUGAGUAACACGUGGAUAACCUACCUAUAAGACUGGGAUAACUUCGGGAAACCGGAGCUAAUACCGGAUAAUAUUUUGAACGGCAUGGUUCAAAAGUGAAAGACGGUCUUGCUGUCACUUAUAGAUGGAUCCGCGCUGCAUUAGCUAGUUGGUAAGGUAACGGCUUACCAAGGCAACGAUGCAUAGCCGACCUGAGAGGGUGAUCGGCCACACUGGAACUGAGACACGGUCCAGACUCCUACGGGAGGCAGCAGUAGGGAAUCUUCCGCAAUGGGCGAAAGCCUGACGGAGCAAUGCCGCGUGAGUGAUGAAGGUCUUCGGAUCGUAAAACUCUGUUAUUAGGGAAGAACAUCUGUGUAAGUAACUGUGCACAUCUUGACGGUACCUAAUCAGAAAGCCACGGCUAACUACGUG
RNAcentral lists this ribosomal RNA (497 nucleotides) under uncultured bacterium. RNAcentral's name for it is "partial 16S ribosomal RNA". It matches the Rfam family "Bacterial small subunit ribosomal RNA", at positions 28 to 507 of the family's 1533-position model. The record is from RNAcentral.